GACGAACGCUGGCGGCGUGCUUAACACAUGCAAGUCGAACGGUGAAGCGCCUUCCUUUUUGGUGGGUGUGGAUGAGUGGCGAACGGGUGAGUAACACGUGAGUAACCUGCCCCCUUCUUCUGGAUAACCGCAUGAAAGUGUGGCUAAUACGGGAUAUUCUGGGUCUGCCGCAUGAUGGGUCUGGGAAAGAUAUUGUUUCGGUGGGGGAUGGGCUCGCGGCCUAUCAGCUUGUUGGUGGGGUGAUGGCCUACCAAGGCGGUGACGGGUAGCCGGCCUGAGAGGGUGGACGGUCACACUGGGACUGAGACACGGCCCAGACUCCUACGGGAGGCAGCAGUGGGGAAUAUUGCACAAUGGGCGCAAGCCUGAUGCAGCGACGCCGCGUGAGGGAUGGAGGCCUUCGGGUUGUGAACCUCUUUCGCCAGUGAAGCAGGCCUGCCUCGUUUGUGGGUGGGUUGACGGUAGCUGGAGAAGAAGCGCCGGCUAACUACGUG
Molecule: ribosomal RNA, 494 nt
Filed under: uncultured bacterium
Lineage: Bacteria
Description: partial 16S ribosomal RNA
Rfam family: Bacterial small subunit ribosomal RNA
Source: RNAcentral